RNAcentral lists this ribosomal RNA (442 nucleotides) under uncultured bacterium. RNAcentral describes it as "partial 16S ribosomal RNA". It matches the Rfam family "Bacterial small subunit ribosomal RNA", at positions 355 to 810 of the family's 1533-position model. The record is from RNAcentral.
UGGGGAAUAUUGCACAAUGGGCGCAAGCCUGAUGCAGCAACGCCGCGUGAGGGACGACGGCCUUCGGGUUGUAAACCUCUUUUAGUAGGGAAGAAGCGAAAGUGACGGUACCUGCAGAAAAAGCACCGGCUAACUACGUGCCAGCAGCCGCGGUAAUACGUAGGGUGCGAGCGUUGUCCGGAAUUAUUGGGCGUAAAGAGCUCGUAGGCGGUCUGUCGCGUCUGCUGUGAAAACCCGAGGCUCAACCUCGGGCCUGCAGUGGGUACGGGCAGACUAGAGUGCGUAGGGGAGAAUGGAAUUCCUGGUGUAGCGGUGGAAUGCGCAGAUAUCAGGAGGAACACCGAUGGCGAAGGCAGUUCUCUGGGCCGUAACUGACGCUGAGGAGCGAAAGCGUGGGGAGCGAACAGGAUUAGAUACCCUGGUAGUCCACGCCGUAAACGUU